Molecule: ribosomal RNA, 528 nt
Filed under: Saccharomyces cerevisiae (brewer's yeast)
Lineage: Eukaryota; Fungi; Ascomycota; Saccharomycetes; Saccharomycetales; Saccharomycetaceae
Description: eukaryotic LSU rRNA
Rfam family: Eukaryotic large subunit ribosomal RNA
Source: RNAcentral
GAAACCAACCGGGAUUGCCUUAGUAACGGCGAGUGAAGCGGCAAAAGCUCAAAUUUGAAAUCUGGUACCUUCGGUGCCCGAGUUGUAAUUUGGAGAGGGCAACUUUGGGGCCGUUCCUUGUCUAUGUUCCUUGGAACAGGACGUCAUAGAGGGUGAGAAUCCCGUGUGGCGAGGAGUGCGGUUCUUUGUAAAGUGCCUUCGAAGAGUCGAGUUGUUUGGGAAUGCAGCUCUAAGUGGGUGGUAAAUUCCAUCUAAAGCUAAAUAUUGGCGAGAGACCGAUAGCGAACAAGUACAGUGAUGGAAAGAUGAAAAGAACUUUGAAAAGAGAGUGAAAAAGUACGUGAAAUUGUUGAAAGGGAAGGGCAUUUGAUCAGACAUGGUGUUUUGUGCCCUCUGCUCCUUGUGGGUAGGGGAAUCUCGCAUUUCACUGGGCCAGCAUCAGUUUUGGUGGCAGGAUAAAUCCAUAGGAAUGUAGCUUGCCUCGGUAAGUAUUAUAGCCUGUGGGAAUACUGCCAGCUGGGACUGAGG